Macaca mulatta (Rhesus monkey) is the source of this 3091-nucleotide RNA transcript. RefSeq lists it as uncharacterized. The record is from RefSeq and is a predicted model, not a curated record. NCBI's taxonomy places the organism in Eukaryota, Metazoa, Chordata, Mammalia, Primates, Cercopithecidae.
CUGACGUAUUUUUCAGUGAUUGUUCCAGGGAUUAUGAUGUGCUUUUGAUUUUUUCCAACGAAUGACGGACGAAGUGAUAGACUUCUUGCGCCGGAUGGGGCUCUGGAGCGCUGCCCGGAGGCAGUGGAUGGAGGGCGCCGGGCAUGACAUCAACAGCUCUGCAGCCAGGGUCUGGGGCACCCUCUUGUUCCACCUCCCAGGAGGCACGCAGCCAGCACCCGCAGCGGCCUGUGCGCCCCAGCCAGGCUUGACCUCAGCGCUGUGGCAGCCGUAUACCUCACCUGGGCAGGCCAAAGGCAAGCAGAGAGCUGGAUCUGCACCAAGGCCCUGGGGAAUGGAUGAUGUACAGGCGACGAAGCUACACUGUCUUUCCUUUUGGAGGGGGGGAAGAAAAAAGAAAACAAGGAAAUGGAAGAUUGAAAAUGUAUGGGCUCUCCUUCCUUUCCUUUGCUCCUGCGUGCUUUCUGGGGUUGAGGGGCGCAGCGAGCUUCAAGACGUGGCCGGGAUUCCCCCUGCCUCACCCCCAGUUCCCUGGGAGAGGUCAGUACGGCCCCUCCCGUGGGCGUCACAGAGACCAAUGCGGGUCCCCCUCUCUGGGAAGGGGCGGGUCUGGAGUCCGCAGGGCCCCUCGCAGGCGCUGACGCAGAGGGAAGCUGAGGUGGCACCAUACCCCAGGGCCCCUGCCUGCCUUCUGGGGAGCCUGGUGACCCAGGCAGCCCUGGUGAGGCCGCGGUUGUCUGGGCCCUACCGAGGCCGCCGGGCUCCCACAGGAUGGAUGCGGACAGUGAGGCCGGGGAGGCCCUGCUGCCCUCGGUACUGUCCCUCCAGCUCCCAGCUUUCGGUGGUUCUCUGGGCCCCCUCUGCAGAGGGUCAGGGGAGCCCAUCCUAGAUCCUGAGGCGCCGAGUUUGAGGGACCCCAGAGCUCCGGCCAGGCCGCUUCCUUUGCGGAUGGUGAAGCUGAGGUCCAGAGGAGGGCAGGGGCAGGUCCCAGGCGCUAGGGAGCCGAUCUCGGGGCUGGGGUCAUAGGGAGGCUCCUGCGACCUCCAGGGCCUUAGAGCCGGGGAGGAUGAGAGACUGGGGGCCUUUCGUCCAACCCUGUGGGUGGGCAGAGGCUCAGCCUAUGCCGCAAGGCAAGCUGCUUCUGGCCAAUCCGAGCCGCGGCCCCUUUAAGAAGGGGUGGUGCUUCAGCCUGGCGCGAGGGACGCCGCCAGCCUGCAUUCCCCUGGAAGCCGAGACUGCGCUUCGUGCGCGGUUCCAGCAGCAGCAGCAGUUGCGUGGUCAGAGCGAGGUUCGGAGAAGCGGUGGUGGUUUCCAUGUGACGGUGGAGGAAGAGGCAGGUCUUGGAGGAGACAAAACUUUUUUCAGUCUACAUGCCUGCGAUCACAUGGCAUGGGACUUUCUCUACCAGGCUCAUUUUUUAGACCUGAUGUUCUCCAGAUUUCUUUAUGUGGCUGCAGAUGGCAGGAUUUCCCAAAGCUUUGUGGCUGAAACAUAUUUUGUGGUGCAUCUGUACAGCAGUUUCUUCAUCCCUGCAGCUGUGUAUGGACAGGUCAUUUACCAUGAUGUCCUCCAGGUUCAACAGUGUGGCUCCAAAUGAUGAAAUUUCAUUCUGUUUUUCUGGCUGAAGAAUAUUCUAUUCGUGUACAUCCACCACAGUUACUUUAUCCUUUCAUCUGUGGAUGGACAGGUUUUUCCACAUGGCUGCAAAUGACUAGAUUUCACCCAUUUCUAUGGUUGAAGAAUAUUCCGUUCUGGAUGAACAUUGCAGUUUCCUCAUCCCUUCAUCAAUGGAUGAAAAGGCCCCUCUGCAGCAGGUCUGCUGGAGUUUACUGGAGGUCCACUUUAGGCCCUGUUUGCCUGUGUCACCAGCACAGGCUGCAGAACAGCAAAAAUUGCUGCCUGUUCCUUCACUGCUUCCCAGAGGGGCACCUGCCAGAUGCCAGCCAGAGAUCUCCUGAGUGAGGUGUCCGUUGACCUUUACUGGGAGGUGUCUCCCAGUCAGGAGGAAUGGGAGUCAGAGAAUCCCUUAAGGAGAGCUCGAGUGCUGUGCUGGGAGAUAAGCUACUCUCUUCAGAGCCAGCAAACAGGCACGUUUAAGUCUGCUAAAGUUGCUCCUACAGCCUCCCGUCCCCUAGGUGCUCUGUCCCAGGGAGAUGGGAGGUUGACCUAUAAGCCCCUGACUGGGGCUGCUGCCUUUUUUUCAGAGAUGCCCUGCCCAGAAAGGAGGAAUCUAGAGAGGCUAAGCUGUAGUGGCCUCCACCCAGUUCGAACUUACUGGCAGCUUAUACUGUGAGGAGAAAAUCGCCUACUCAAGUCUCAGUAAUGACAGAUACCCCUCUCCCCACCAAGCUUGAGCAUCCCAGGUUGACUUCAGACUGCUGUGCUGGCAGAGAGAAUUUCAAGCCAGUGGAUCUUAGCUUCCUGGACUUUGUGGGGGUGGGAUCCGCUAAGAAAGAUCACUUAGCUUCCUGGCUUCAGCCCCCUUUCCAGGGGAAUAAACGGUGCUGUCUUGCUGGUGUUCCAGGUGCCACUGGGGGAUGAAAAAAUACUCCUGCAGCUAGCUCAGUGUCUUCCCAAACAGCCACCCAGUUUUGUUCUUGAAACCUAGGGCCCUGGUGGUAUAGGCACUGGAGGGAUUCUCCUGGUCUGAGGGUUGUGAAGACUGUGGGAAAAGUGUGCUAUCUGGGCUGGAGUGCACUGUUCCUCACAGCACAGUUCCUCAGGGCUUCCCUUGGCUAGGGGAGGGAGUUCCCCAACCCCUUGCACUUCCUGGGUGAGGUGAUGCCCCACCCUGCUUUGACUCACACUCUGUGGGCUGUAUCCACUGUCUAACCAGUCCCAACGAGAUGAGCCGGAUAACUCAGUUAAAAAUGCAGAAAGCAGCUGCCUUCUGCAUUGCUCUUACUGGGAACUGCAGACUGGAGCUUUUCCUAUUCGGCCAUCUUGCCAGUCACCAAAAAUGUCUAUUUCCUAUUGAAAUGUCUUGGCAUCUUUGACAAAAUAAGCUUACCAAAUUAAUAUGAUUAUUAAUGGACCUUCAGUUUUAUUCUACUCGUGUACUUAAUCUCUUUUAUUUAUUUUUUAUUUUUUU